RNAcentral lists this long non-coding RNA (217 nucleotides) under Elaeis guineensis (African oil palm). Its description in RNAcentral is "long non-coding RNA (EGUI_LNC067943)". Lineage: Eukaryota; Viridiplantae; Streptophyta; Magnoliopsida; Arecales; Arecaceae. The record is from RNAcentral.
GUUAAGGCCUCGGCCUAGAUGUGGCCUUAUCAAUAUUGAUCAUGGAAAGUUAUCAUGCAUGGUCCAUGGUGUUCUAGCCUUGUGGUCAACUGGCAACCAAUCACUGUGGUUAGAUGGUAGCCGAUGAAAUUAUUACUUUUCAGUUCUCCAUGGUGGUCUUGGUGAGUCAUUGGACAAAGUCAUCGGCAUAGUGUUAAUGUCCUCGAUAGGUGGCCAA